AGGCGAACGGCUGAGUAACACGUGGGCAACCUGCCCUUUGCACUGGGAUAGCCUCGGGAAACCGAGGUUAAUACCGGAUACUCCAUAUUUGUCGCAUGGCGAAUAUGGGAAAGCUCCGGCGGCAAAGGAUGGGCCCGCGGCCUGUUAGCUAGUUGGUGGGGUAGUGGCCUACCAAGGCAAUGAUGGGUAGCCGGGUUGAGAGACCGACCGGCCAGAUUGGGACUGAGACACGGCCCAGACUCCUACGGGAGGCAGCAGCUG
RNAcentral lists this ribosomal RNA (261 nucleotides) under uncultured Atopobium sp. RNAcentral describes it as "partial 16S ribosomal RNA". It matches the Rfam family "Bacterial small subunit ribosomal RNA", at positions 96 to 357 of the family's 1533-position model. The record is from RNAcentral. Lineage: Bacteria; Bacillati; Actinomycetota; Coriobacteriia; Coriobacteriales; Atopobiaceae.